UGGGGAAUUUUGGACAAUGGGCGAAAGCCUGAUCCAGCAAUGCCGCGUGUGUGAAGAAGGCCUUCGGGUUGUAAAGCACUUUUGUCCGGAAAGAAAUCCUUGGCUCUAAUACAGUCGGGGGAUGACGGUACCGGAAGAAUAAGCACCGGCUAACUACGUGCCAGCAGCCGCGGUAAUACGUAGGGUGCAAGCGUUAAUCGGAAUUACUGGGCGUAAAGCGUGCGCAGGCGGUUUGCUAAGACCGAUGUGAAAUCCCCGGGCUCAACCUGGGAACUGCAUUGGUGACUGGCAGGCUAGAGUAUGGCAGAGGGGGGUAGAAUUCCACGUGUAGCAGUGAAAUGCGUAGAGAUGUGGAGGAAUACCGAUGGCGAAGGCAGCCCCUGGGCAAUACUGACGCUCAUGCACGAAAGCGUGGGGAGCAAACAGGAUUAGAUACCCUGGUAGUCCACGCCCUAAACGAUGUCAACUAGUUGUUGGGGAUUCAUUUCCUUAGUAACGUAGCUAACGCGUGAAGUUGACCGCCUGGGGAGUACGGUCGCAAGAUUAAAACUUAAAGGAAUUGACGGGGUCAUAGCUGUUUCCU
Molecule: ribosomal RNA, 583 nt
Filed under: uncultured bacterium
Lineage: Bacteria
Description: partial 16S ribosomal RNA
Rfam family: Bacterial small subunit ribosomal RNA
Source: RNAcentral